AGCUGACAUGAGAAGGGAAAAUGUGUCUCUGUGAAUCUCACAGCUCAGUAAUCGUACUAGAAAUCGUAAACUGGUGGAACUUCAGUUUCUGUGUUUCAGUUGAUUUUGGAUCUCUACAUCAGUGAUUACAUUAGCGUACAAUCUGUUCCUCUGACCUCCGUCCUGGAUAAUGAAGAAUGAAGACCUCAAAUGAAGCCUUUUGUGUGUAAAAAAUGAGACAUCUGGAAACAGCAUUUCCAGCAUGUCGACCGCCAUUGAUGAGACUUCAAAGCCCCCUGCAGGUACAGAUGGGUAGCGUCACUCAGGCUUCAUCCAUCAAUGUUUACAGUCUAUAGUCAAAAGCAAGCGGCAAUAUUUGGUGUUAAAAAAAUAAGCUGAAUUGGAAGUCAAAUGCAGUUCCUGGAGUGUGCACUUGAGGCUGUAACACCACUAUGCAUGUCUUUUUAAAAAACAAAGCCCUUGAUAAAUGCCUGAUUAAUACAGCUCCAAGAAAAAACAAAGCUCCCUGUCAUCAAGAUUAACUCUUAACGAAGCAUUUAGUUUUAUUUACUACAAUUCUUUUACAAAAAACACCAACUGUAUCAUUAUUUCUCUCGUUAAUUUCAUAUGAUAUGUCAUGUUUUCUCUCACUCACACACACAAGGUAGAAGGUUUGUAAGGAUGAUGAGAGUAAAGGAUGUGCUUGGCAAAGUUUUGUUUGGAAAGGCAGACUUUUUCAGAUGGUUACUAAAUAAUUUGGGUUACUGGACUUUGGACAUAAAUAUCAAACACUGCAGCUUAUCAGGUGUCCUCCUUUCCCCAUUGGCUGCUGAGCUUGACCCCAUCCCCCUCUGGAUCAAUUUUGUUUAGACGUACAGGACUGACCGGCCUUGUUGUCGAUAGUAUUCAUGGACGGUGUGUAUUAGCCUUCUAACCCACCCCCGAUACUCAUCCACAGUGAUUUAGUGGAGCUGAGAACCAUGAAUUUACAGACAGGCAGUCGAGACGACGGACUGUAAAUAUUAAUGGAUGAAGCCUGGGUGAUGUCAUCC
Labrus bergylta (ballan wrasse) is the source of this 1031-nucleotide non-coding RNA. The record is from RefSeq and is a predicted model, not a curated record. NCBI's taxonomy places the organism in Eukaryota, Metazoa, Chordata, Actinopteri, Labriformes, Labridae.